AGAGAAAUUUGCGAGGUUACUGCUAAUAACUUCCUGUCGGUUUAUUCUAGACUUUCUCUU
This 60-nucleotide transfer RNA is filed under the name Gangesia oligonchis. Its description in RNAcentral is "tRNA-Ser". The record is from RNAcentral. Lineage: Eukaryota; Metazoa; Platyhelminthes; Cestoda; Proteocephalidea; Proteocephalidae.